AUGAACGCUGGCGGCGUGCCUAAUACAUGCAAGUCGAGCGAACAGACGAGGAGCUUGCUCCUCUGACGUUAGCGGCGGACGGGUGAGUAACACGUGGAUAACCUACCUAUAAGACUGGGAUAACUUCGGGAAACCGGAGCUAAUACCGGAUAAUAUAUUGAACCGCAUGGUUCAAUAGUGAAAGACGGUUUUGCUGUCACUUAUAGAUGGAUCCGCGCCGCAUUAGCUAGUUGGUAAGGUAACGGCUUACCAAGGCAACGAUGCGUAGCCGACCUGAGAGGGUGAUCGGCCACACUGGAACUGAGACACGGUCCAGACUCCUACGGGAGGCAGCAGUAGGGAAUCUUCCGCAAUGGGCGAAAGCUUGACGGAGCAACGCCGCGUGAGUGAUGAAGGUCUUCGGAUCGUAAAACUCUGUUAUUGGGGAAGAACAAAUGUGUAAGUAACUAUGCACGUCUUGACGGUACCUAAUCAGAAAGCCACGGCUAACUACGUG
Molecule: ribosomal RNA, 496 nt
Filed under: uncultured bacterium
Lineage: Bacteria
Description: partial 16S ribosomal RNA
Rfam family: Bacterial small subunit ribosomal RNA
Source: RNAcentral